Molecule: long non-coding RNA, 414 nt
Organism: Physella acuta
Lineage: Eukaryota; Metazoa; Mollusca; Gastropoda; Physidae
Source: RefSeq, a predicted model, not a curated record
CAGUGAUUGGACAAUACACUGCAACAGUUAUUGUACUGGAAACUGUAGCUAUAGGCUCAGCUCUGGGUAAUUUUACAGCUACAGAUGCAGAUGGGACGUCACCAAACAACAGGAUAGAGUACAAAGUACAAAGUGUCAGCCCAAACAGUGGUAGCAACCUCUUCUAUGUUGGUGAGAAGAGUGCUAUUCUAACAGUUGCAUCCUCACUCCAAGCUGACAGGACUGUCAACACUUAUACUGUCACUGUCAUUGCCUUUGAUUUGGGGACGCCAUCUUUAACUGCCACUGGUAUAGUCACAGUGACAUUAAAGCGCAACACCACACCACCUACCUGUAGUAGCACUAGAGCUAGUGCAGGGCUUCUCUUAAUAUUCAGUGCUGCUGCUCAUAUUAUUGUAUGCAACCGAUAUCUUA